UCGGAAUAACUCAGAGAAAUUUGAGCUAAUACCGGAUAAUGUCUUCGGACCAAAGAUUUAUCGCCUUUAGAUGGGCCCGCGUUGGAUUAGCUAGUUGGUGGGUAAAGGCCUACCAAGGCGACGAUCCAUAGCUGGUCUGAGAGGAUGAUCAGCCACACUGGGACUGAGACACGGCCCAGACUCCUACGGGAGGCAGCAGUGGGGAAUAUUGGACAAUGGGCGAAAGCCUGAUCCAGCAAUGCCGCGUGAGUGAUGAAGGCCUUAGGGUUGUAAAGCUCUUUUACCCGAGAUGAUAAUGACAGUAUCGGGAGAAUAAGCUCCGGCUAACUCCGUG
This 334-nucleotide ribosomal RNA is filed under the name uncultured bacterium. RNAcentral describes it as "bacterial SSU rRNA". It matches the Rfam family "Bacterial small subunit ribosomal RNA", at positions 138 to 507 of the family's 1533-position model. The record is from RNAcentral.